UAAAAUAAUUAAGGGCACACAAAGGAUGCCUAGGUAGUAAGAGCCGAUGAAGGACGUGGUAAGCUGCGAUAAGCCUAGAUAAGUUGCAAUCGAACGUAAGAGUCUAGGAUUUCCGAAUGGAGCAAUCUAUUAAGAUGGAGUCUUAAUACGAAAGAGGGAACCGCGUGAACUGAAACAUCUAAGUAACGCGAGGAAAAGAAAGUAAAAACGAUACCCAAAGUAGCGGCGAGCGAAAUGGGUCAAGCCUAAACCUUAAAUAUGUCAAGGAUACAGCCGUUGUAUUUAAGGGGUUGAGGGACAGAGUAGUGAAGAACUGUAAGAUAUUCAAUAUAGUGUAUUGAUGAAUUGGAAUUGUCUGGAAAGGCGAACCGUAGAAGGUGAAAGUCCUGUACAAGUAAAUCCUUACACAUAUAACUCUGCUCCCAAGUAACAUGGAACACGAGGAAUUCUGUGUGAAUCUGUGAGGACCAUAUCUCAUAAGGCUAAAUACUCUUACUAACCGAUAGCGCAUAGUACCGUGAGGGAAAGGUGAAAAGAACCCCUGGAGGGGAGUGAAAUAGAACCUGAAAUUGUGUGCUUACAAGCGGUCAGAGCCAGCAAUGGUGAUGGCGUGCCUUUUGGAGAAUGAUCCUGCGAGUUACGUUAAACGGCGAGGUUAAGUAUAACGGAGCCGAAGGGAAACCAAGUCUUAAUAGGGCGAUUUAGUCGUUUGGCGUAGACGCGAAACCUGGUGAUCUAAACCUGUCCAGGAUGAAGCUGUGGUAAGACACAGUGGAGGUCCUAACCCACCGCCGUUGAAAAGUUGGGGGAUGAGGUAGGUUUAGGGGUGAAAAGCCAAUCGAACCAGGAGAUAGCUCGUUCUCUCCGAAAUGCAUCUAGGUGCAGCCUUGAGUGUUCAAUUAUGGGGGUAGAGCACUGAAUGAUCUAGGGGGCGUAUUGCUUACUGAAAUCAAUCAAACUCCGAAUACCAUAAUUUAUAGCUCAGGAGUGAGACUAUGGGAGUUAACUUCCAUUGUCGAAAGGGAAACAACCCAGACCACCAGCUAAGGUCCCUAAUUAUAACUAAGUGGGAAAGGAGGUGGAGAUUCACAAACAACUAGGAGGUUGGCUUAGAAGCAGCCAUACCUUUAAAGAGUGCGUAAUAGCUCACUAGUCGAGAGUCUCUGCGCCGACAAUGUAACGGGGCUAAGUUAUAAACCGAAGCUGUGGAAUCCGUAAGGAUUGGUAGGAGAGCGUUCUGUAGGCCGUUGAAGGAGAAGGGUAACCGACUUUGGAGGUAUCAGAAGUGAGAAUGCAGGAAUAAGUAGCGAGAAAGGGGGCGAGAAUCCCCCUCGCCGGAAGACCAAGGUUUUCAGGGUAAAGCUUGUCUUCCCUGAGUAAGCCGGGACCUAAGCCCAGGCUAUAAUGCGUAGGCGAAUGGAAAACAGAUUAAUAUUUCUGUGCCAGUCAUAUAUUGUGAUGGAGGGACGCAGAAGGGUAUGCGCGCGGACGAACGGAAGUGUCCGUAGAAGUAUGUAGGAUGACUUGAUAGGAAAAUCCAUUGAGUUAUAUCUGAGGUAUGAUAUACAGUCGUAAGAUGAAUGCGCAAAUCCCACGCUGCCAAGAAAAGCUUCUAACGUUAAUAUUUGACUGCCCGUACUGUAAACCGACACAGGUGGUCAGGAUGAGAAAUCUAAGGCGGACAGGCUAACUCUCGUUAAGGAACUCUGCAAAAUAACCUCGUAACUUCGGGAGAAGAGGAGCCCUUGAGGGUCAGUAUCCACGCGAUACAAAGCGCUCGAGGGUCGCAGUGAAGAGGCUCAAGCAACUGUUUAACAAAAACACAGGUCUAUGCUAAGCUGGAAGGCGAUGUAUAUGGGCUGACACCUGCCCAGUGCUGGAAGGUUAAGAGGAGGAGUGAGAGCUCCGAAUUGAAGCCCCAGUGAACGGCGGCCGUAACUAUAACGGUCCUAAGGUAGCGAAAUUCCUUGUC
RNAcentral lists this ribosomal RNA (1972 nucleotides) under human oral metagenome. Its description in RNAcentral is "bacterial LSU rRNA". It matches the Rfam family "Bacterial large subunit ribosomal RNA", at positions 1 to 1973 of the family's 2925-position model. The record is from RNAcentral.